UAACGAAUAUUCCGCAAUGGGCGCAAGCCUGACGGAGCGACGCCGCGUGGAGGACGAAGUCCCUCGGGAUGUAAACUCCUUUUAGGGUUAGGAAAGUGAUGCGCGCUAAUAUCGCGCAAAGCGGAUCCAUCCCAGAAAAAGCAUCGGCUAAUCCCGUGCCAGCAGCCGCGGUAAUACGGGAGAUGCGAGCGUUGUUCGGAAUCACUGGGCUUAAAGCGCGUGUAGGCGGCUCGGUAAGUACCUUGUGAAA
Molecule: ribosomal RNA, 250 nt
Filed under: uncultured bacterium
Lineage: Bacteria
Description: partial 16S ribosomal RNA
Rfam family: Bacterial small subunit ribosomal RNA
Source: RNAcentral